Molecule: ribosomal RNA, 293 nt
Filed under: uncultured bacterium
Lineage: Bacteria
Description: partial 16S ribosomal RNA
Rfam family: Archaeal small subunit ribosomal RNA
Source: RNAcentral
GUGCCAGCAGCCGCGGUAAUACCGGCAGCUCAAGUGAUGUCCCAUAUUAUUGGGCCUAAAGCGUCCGUAGCUGGCCGACCAAGUCCAUCGGGAAAUCCACCUGCUCAACAGGUGGGCGCCCGGUGGACACUGUGCGGCUUGGGACCGGAAGGCGCGACGGGUACGUCCGGGGUAGGAGUGAAAUCCUAUAAUCCCGCACGGACCACCGAUGGCGAAAGCACUUCGAGAAAACGGAUCCGACAGUGAGGGACGAAAGCCAGGGUCUCCAGCCGGAUUAGAUACCCCGGUAGUCC